RNAcentral lists this ribosomal RNA (757 nucleotides) under uncultured Arcobacter sp. RNAcentral describes it as "bacterial SSU rRNA". It matches the Rfam family "Bacterial small subunit ribosomal RNA", at positions 584 to 1339 of the family's 1533-position model. Lineage: Bacteria; Pseudomonadati; Campylobacterota; Epsilonproteobacteria; Campylobacterales; Arcobacteraceae. The record is from RNAcentral.
UAAGUCAGAAGUGAAAUCCAAUAGCUCAACUAUUGAACUGCUUUUGAAACUGAUUACCUAGAAUAUGGGAGAGGUAGAUGGAAUUUCUGGUGUAGGGGUAAAAUCCGUAGAGAUCAGAAGGAAUACCGAUUGCGAAGGCGAUCUACUGGAACAUUAUUGACGCUGAGACGCGAAAGCGUGGGGAGCAAACAGGAUUAGAUACCCUGGUAGUCCACGCCCUAAACGAUGUACACUAGUUGUUGUGAGGCUCGACCUUGCAGUAAUGCAGUUAACACAUUAAGUGUACCGCCUGGGGAGUACGGUCGCAAGAUUAAAACUCAAAGGAAUAGACGGGGACCCGCACAAGCGGUGGAGCAUGUGGUUUAAUUCGACGAUACACGAAGAACCUUACCUGGACUUGACAUAGUAAGAACUUUCUAGAGAUAGAUUGGUGUCUGCUUGCAGAAACUUAUAUACAGGUGCUGCACGGCUGUCGUCAGCUCGUGUCGUGAGAUGUUGGGUUAAGUCCCGCAACGAGCGCAACCCUCGUCAUUAGUUGCUAACAGUUCGGCUGAGAACUCUAAUGAGACUGCCUACGCAAGUAGGAGGAAGGUGAGGACGACGUCAAGUCAUCAUGGCCCUUACGUCCAGGGCUACACACGUGCUACAAUGGGGCAUACAAAGAGCCGCAAUACGGUGACGUGGAGCAAAUCUCAAAAAUAUCUCCCAGUUCGGAUUGUAGUCUGCAACUCGACUACAUGAAGUUGGAAUCGCUAGU